GAGGAGUACUAAGAGUCGGCAUCCUUGUCUUGUUUACAUUCUCAGAGGGAAUGCUUUCAACUUUUCCCCAUUCAGUAUUAUGUUGGCUGUGGGUUUGUCAUAGAUGGCUUUUGUUACAUUAAGAUUGGAAAAGAAUGGCCCAGAUCCUCUGGGCUCCUCAAAUGAGCGGAUUCAGAGAGAAGCUUUUGAGAGAGUGCUGGCAAAGAUAUUUUUCACAAAAGAACUCUUGAGGUGCUCGUGUCCAUGGCGUGCCUGGGAAGGCCCACCAACACUGGCCGGCCUUCAAGCACCCGGGCCUCUGCUCGUGUACAGCUCCUGAUCUGCCCUGCCUCUGAGUUACUGGGGAAAAUGAGCUUAUAUAUGAAGAAGUCAGUGAGUGGACAAAGCCAGGCGCAAUGGAUAGCAAUUCAAGUUAGAAGAAAACUGCAGCACGGAGUCUGCUCUCAGCUGUUUGGGAAUUACUGAUGCCUUUGACUAAGUCAAGACUGACUUUUCCAGAAUAUCACCAAGACAUAGAGCCGUCCCUGUCCAAGUUUGUGCGCUAGCCCUUCAUGGAGGUCAGAGAGGAAGGCACAAAGGCAGCUGUGGCCUUGGCGGUCACAGUGUCAGAAUGUGCAAGCCCCAUAGAGAGGUUUCACGCAGGCCACCCAUCCCUUUUCAUUCUCCAGCAGAACAGGACAGAGAGCAUUCUGUUCUGCAGAAGGUUUUCCAUUCUACAAGGCAAUCCCUCCAGCUGCUUUGCUGUAUUGUGCUGUCUCCUGUCACACUAUGAAUGCAGGGACCUCAGCCAGCAGCAGGGAGAACCCCCCUGCCCCCCGAACAAAGGACCUCAUGUGAAAUCCUGAGCUCAGAGCUUACAGAUAUGUGUGCACUUUCACUUUACAUAGGCUGUGACUUUCAAACAACUUCAGGAAACUUUAGGAUCUCUGAGGUAUACUGGAGAUUAUAGCAGCGUAGAAUGUUCAUUUGGAUUUAGAACAAAAAUGCUUAUUUUAUAUUUGGCUGCUCCCAAACUGUCCCCAAACUUCCUCUCCAGCGGUUACCCCUCCACUGCCCUGGAUGUCCCACAUUUACACUCACACCUCCACCCUAACAAAGUCCUCCACGGGGUCAAACCAUACAUCACUUCAUCUCUGUAGAGACGACUUCCUGUCCUCUGGUCUGUGGAUAAAGACCCCAGAUAAAGAUGCCUGUGUUGCUCAACUCUUGUAUAUACACUUGAAACAUUUUGAAAGCAGAAGGAAAGGAGACAGAUGACGUGGGAAAAUAAAAAGGAUGGUCUGCUUGUUCAGAAACAUUUUGAGAAUGCCCUUCCCUAAGAGAGAACAGUAAAAGUGAACAAUACUUCCUGA
RNAcentral lists this long non-coding RNA (1352 nucleotides) under Pongo abelii (Sumatran orangutan). Its description in RNAcentral is "lincRNA". Lineage: Eukaryota; Metazoa; Chordata; Mammalia; Primates; Hominidae. The record is from RNAcentral.